GAUGAACGCUGACAGAAUGCUUAACACAUGCAAGUCGAUGGGGAAGUGGUGCUUGCACCAUGGCAACCAUGGCGGACGGGUGAGUAACGCGUAAGGGACUUACCUGCAGGACUGGGAUAACAGGGGGAAACUCCUGACAAGACCGGAUAAUGUCAUGGAGCUGCAUGGCUUUAUGAUGAAAGGAGACGCCUGCGGAGAGCCUUGCGUCCUAUUAGCUAGUUGGUGAGGUAAUGGCUCACCAAGGCGAAGAUAGGUAGCCGGCCUGAGAGGGUGGACGGCCACAAGGGGACUGAGAUACGGCCGUUACUCCUACUGGAGGCAGCAGUGGAGAAUAUUGGACAAUGGGGGCAACUCUGAUCCAGCAAUUCUGUGUGCACGAAGAAGGUUUUCGGAUUGUAAAGUGCUUUCAGCAGAGAAGAAGUAAGUGACGGUACCUGCAGAAGAAGCGACGGCUAAAUACGUG
RNAcentral lists this ribosomal RNA (463 nucleotides) under uncultured bacterium. RNAcentral describes it as "partial 16S ribosomal RNA". It matches the Rfam family "Bacterial small subunit ribosomal RNA", at positions 28 to 507 of the family's 1533-position model. The record is from RNAcentral.